CCAUACCGAAAACUCUUUUCAAACUUCUGUUGCUUUUCAACUUUUAAUGCCAGCUUGCUCACAUCAUUUAAACACCAAUAUGGCUGUAGCUGAACAACUUUAGCAAUCUCAUACUUCAGACCUCCUAAGUAUCUUGCAAUUGUUUGCUCUUCCGGUUCCACAAGCUCUCCUUUUAACAUCAAAUUAUCAAAUUCUGCAGUGUACUCCUCCACACUAAGAUCUUUUUGCUUGAAAUCAUGUAUUUUGA
RNAcentral lists this long non-coding RNA (247 nucleotides) under Musa acuminata (dwarf banana). RNAcentral describes it as "long non-coding RNA (MACU_LNC011289)". Lineage: Eukaryota; Viridiplantae; Streptophyta; Magnoliopsida; Zingiberales; Musaceae. The record is from RNAcentral.